RNAcentral lists this small RNA (411 nucleotides) under Pan troglodytes (chimpanzee). RNAcentral's name for it is "processed transcript". The record is from RNAcentral. Lineage: Eukaryota; Metazoa; Chordata; Mammalia; Primates; Hominidae.
ACAGUGAAAAAUGUACCGAGACCUUGGAGAGCCACGAACCAAGAAACUUCAGAAACCUCUGAUAUCUGAUCAAGAGUUAAGAGACGUCAGAAUCAUCACAACUGACAAAAGAAUGUUUUCUCUCUUCAAGAUUCUCUUUUGAAAGACAUCUAAAAAGAUCAGGAAAAGAAGACCUACACCAGCAUCACUUGUGAUUCUCAAUGAGCAUAACCCCCCAGAAAUAGAUGACAAGAGGGUGCCCAACACACAAGGGGAAUUACAGAAUGCAUCCCCUAAGCAAAGGAAGCAGAGUGUGUACACGCCACCCACCAUAAAAGGUGCAAAAUGAGUUGAUAACAACCAGAAGUUGACUUGUUAGUGCUGUGCUUCUACUUGAGCUUGGAAAAAUCCCAACACAAAACAAACACCACC